GAUGGUUGGGUUUGGAUUGUUGUACUUUUUUUUUUGUUCGUUGCAUUUUUAGGAACAAAAAAAAAAGCCCAACCCUUCACACCACUUCAUCCGCAUCUC
Macaca fascicularis (crab-eating macaque) is the source of this 99-nucleotide microRNA precursor. NCBI's taxonomy places the organism in Eukaryota, Metazoa, Chordata, Mammalia, Primates, Cercopithecidae. The record is from Ensembl.